ACUUAAGUAGUUUAUGUAAAAUUUAGAUUUGUGGGUUCUAAGAAAAUUAAUAUUCUUAAGUU
Molecule: transfer RNA, 62 nt
Filed under: Macrosteles quadrimaculatus
Lineage: Eukaryota; Metazoa; Arthropoda; Insecta; Hemiptera; Cicadellidae
Description: tRNA-His
Source: RNAcentral